Molecule: microRNA precursor, 162 nt
Filed under: Oryza brachyantha (malo sina)
Lineage: Eukaryota; Viridiplantae; Streptophyta; Magnoliopsida; Poales; Poaceae
Description: MIR812 microRNA precursor family
Rfam family: MIR812 microRNA precursor family
Source: Rfam by way of RNAcentral
CCAUGUUUUGAUUUUUCGUCUUAUUUAAAAAAUUUGCAAUUAAUAUUUUUGUUUUUACUAGAUGAUAAAAAUAUGAAUAGUACUUUAUGCUUGACUAAUUUUUUAAGUUUUUGUAUAAAUUUUUCAAAAAAGACGAAUGGUCAGAGCAUUGGACUCAAAAUC